RNAcentral lists this long non-coding RNA (1605 nucleotides) under Daucus carota (carrot). RNAcentral describes it as "long non-coding RNA (DCAR_LNC001688)". The record is from RNAcentral. Lineage: Eukaryota; Viridiplantae; Streptophyta; Magnoliopsida; Apiales; Apiaceae.
UCCAUUCUAGCCACUGUCUUGAAAUCUACUUGUCUCUCCUCUCUCUCUUCGAAUUCCUGCAAAACAAAGUUAUAAGCAAACCAUAUUGUCAGGUAACAAGAUCACAAUUACAAUGCAAAUCAUUUCUUAUUAUUAUAAAUAUUUAUAACUCAUACAAGUUCAUUUAGUUUCAAUAAGAAGAAAUGAAGUUGGACAGACUAUAUGUGUGGAAGUAAAGAAUUAUGUGAACUACUCAGAUGUUCAAUUUGCUAGUGGCAAAGUUCUACUGAUCUGCAACCUACAGAAGUGAAUAUCGAGCAGAAAAAAGUUGCAGCACACAUAUAAAGACUCAAACUUUCAACAUUAAACAUGUCAUACUGCAUUGUGAUAUAGCCUCGAACUAGAUCCUCUGGACUGAGAUUAUAUUAGCCCUUAAAUGAAUUAUCUACUCUCCGCCAUCAAGAAAAAUAUGUCUCAACUUGGCAAGCAAUAUCACAAUAAGAAAAAAGAAUGGCAUUUGUUUGACGAAUUAUAGACUACGAUUACCCUCUUCAUAGUUCAUAACAACAUGUAUACACCAAUUUAAAAAUAAUAAUGGUUUUUUUUUGUCAAAAAAAUAAUAAAAUAAUGGUUCAAAAAGAGACAAAAAUGACGCUCUGUCAUGCUAAAUAGAUCUUCUCUAUAUCACUCGAUAUCUAUUCUGCCACGCUAAACACAUAUGAUAGUGACCCUCAGAAACAGCAACCAUUGAUCGUUUGCCUGAAGGACAGAGUAAGUAGACAAUUAUUGCAUUCUAAAAUUUACACAGGAGCUCCCCAAAGUAUCCAAAACAUUAUCAUGUGAUAAUUGCCAGGAAAGAAAAUGUUAAUCUGAUAAAGGUGAGCAACAGAUUAGACAUUAUUCAUGUAAUUUAUAUAUAUCUCAAUUGAAAAAACAGUAGAGAAACAUGUGAGCUUACCAUUAAGAUGACGGAACUGUCAUAUGAAUUGAUAUGAAGUACACCACAGUGUGCAAAUGAAUAUCCCAAUUACAUGUGUACAACUUUGAAGUCAAGGAACAGCUAGGGAAAAUAUAAGAUAUUGUUUCAUGCUCUGUGAGACUGUGACUCGAAACUGAGGUAAUAGAACCUAGAAAAAAUACCUACUGCGAUACAGAAACACAACAAUUAUUGUGUUUGUUUCUACCGUGUUUCUAAUUAGUCUUCACAAUACAUACUGCGAUACAUAAGCACAUAAGAUUGAUGUCUCAGCCAAAUUAAUUUACAAAUUAAUGAAAUGUACCAAAAGCUAAAGUUUUGAUGAAUGGGAGAGAAAAACAGAACUAUAAAGCACACGAAUAACAAAAAAUACUGUACCUUCUCCAUUUUUAUGCAUUCCUCUUUUUCUUGUCUUUUGAUGGUCUGCUGCAGCGCCUCAUCCUCAGUGAGCUGUAAGAGACUCUCGGUGUAUGGAAAUGAACAAUAUUGAAGAGGAAUCCCCUGAAUCCCAAUAUUCUUGACUGUCUUACGGUCAAUGUUAUACCAGGCAAGCUGUGUGUGAAAGCCACGCACCUGUAAUGUUGUGUUUGGUUGGGGUGAAUGGAAUGGAAUGGAAUAGAAUAGAAUGAGUAAAAAUAAAAGAAAAUAAU